AUGUCCGGGAGAUGAGGCUAGUAUCGGAACCUUCGGCCUCAGACGGAGGACGUGGCGUGGCGGCACAGCCCACUUUUCCCUUGCAAGGGAGAGCCACCUUCUCUUGUCCCUUCGUACGGUAAGAAGGCUGGUGUAAUUGGUUUCUUGUAACACAAAGCAGGAAUGUGGGCGGUGAGCUGAUGUGCUGCACCUCGCCUUGUGGGGGUCUGGGACUCUGGGAGUACGCUGCACACUACGUAGUGUGGGACUACGCCAACCUGUCCCUUACCCUGUCCUAUCGCAUACACAAUACACACACGGGUAUGUUCCCCUGCAAAACACACACUUUCAAUUAUUCGCAGUGUAGUGUUGGCUCUCUCCUGUUGGAUUUGGGUUUUGCCCCGCCCCCGCCGGGGUACUACCAGAAUCACGCGUGUCCCUCAGGCUGGGGCCAUCAUCUAGCUCGGUGCACGCGCACCAACAAUGGUGCGCGUCACGGCCAUGUCCACGUCCUAGACAUCCAACUUACGCAUCCUAGCGCGACUCAAGCUGCCGAAGCCAUCUACGUUAGCACCUGCAACGGCCACGUCCCCCCAUCAGUAGACAGGCGCAGGAGCGAAGAAUUCUCCACAGCUGCCGCGCUAUUCCGCACCACCUGUCUAGCACGCAUGGCCCACAGCCACCAACACACAUGCUUGCCGGCUCAGCAGCCGCCGCAGUACAGCCUGCAUGGGGGCGGGGGGGGCAAGGGGGGCAGUUGUUGUUGUUGUUGUGCCUGACCCAAACCUGCCAUUCCUGCAUGCCACCCCAAACCUGCCAUUCCUGCAUGCCACCCCAAACCUGCCCCAGCCCUGACCCAAGCCUGCCCCAAACCUGCCAUCCCAAACCUGACACAAACCUGACCCGAACCUGACCUCGGCCCGCCACGACCCCCACCCGCACCCCCACCAGUGCCAACACCCCCACCAACACCAACACCAGCGCCGCCAGUUCCACUGCAGGGUUGGCAGGGCCUUAGAUUUAGAUAACUAAGGAUAUGCUUAUAUAGCUUAUAUAUAACUUAGACAUUAGACAGAGGCCCCCCGACGACCAUAGUCAACGCACGGUCAAACUAAUGUUGCUGCGGUAUAUAGCAUUAUAUAAGCUUAUCUAAUCUUACCCAAGGUUUAGACUGGGGCCAUACAUGCGGUACGCCGCCCACGUGCCAGGCCCCAGCAAGAUCCUCGCCGCGGGCCUUGAAGCCAGCGACGAGGAGCUGAUCCUGCAGCAGUGCGAGGAGGAGGAGGAGGAGCUGGGGGCGGCGGCGGCGGCGCAGCAGGCGGCGCAGCCGCGCCUGCAGCUGACGGCAGAGGGCAUGCCGUACAUUACGGAGACGGAGCCGCUCGUGGAGUGAACAAAGCGGCCGCCGCAGCGGAGCACGGACAGGAGGCUGCAGCGGAGAGGAAGCUGAGCCAGCUUGAGCAUUCACGCAUUCUUUCAUUAUAUAUGGGGGCUUGACGUAGACUGCGUGGGGUGCAUGGGGCCCCAUAUGGGGAGUCGAAUGAGGCUGAGAGCGGCUGCGGCGGCAUUGACGUGCAUGGGUUUGGGGACCGUCAGGGGCUGGAGUGCAGUGGGUCGGGCAGCACAGGCUUUCGGACUGUUGAUUACAGAAGGGGACGGAGAGAGCAACGCAUUAGACUACUUAGCAGCAAAAACGGCUCAGCCCAUGACCCACUUCUCCUUGGGACACCCCCCGUGUAAGGUGGGCCUGCCUAACUUAAAUAAGCAUAGAUAAGCAUAGAUAAGCUUAUCUAAGGCUUUGGUCCGCGCGGCUAUCUAAGGUUUUGGCCAACCCUGUUCCACUGUGGCCGCCCCUGUUCCCCGCCGCUCCACCCCCCACAGCGGCGCCGUGGUCUUUCACCCGGUGGACAGUCACGCAACGAUGACGUGUACCCUUGCGUGCACCCCGGGUUGGGGGAGGUUGGGUCUCCCUGUUCGAAGGCUGGCCGCACGCAGCGCAUUGCCCUGAGCCUGCUUCCGAUUCCACACUCCUGCCCCCCGCCCAAUGUCGCUGUGUCGCUGUGCCGAUCCUUGCCCGCCGGAGCCCCCAGCCCCACCGAGCCAUCCACUCCAGCGCCUGUCACUCCGCCACCGUAUUUAGCGCCCCCCUGCCGGGAAGGGGUAGUUGGCGACAUUCGACGACCAUAUGCAGCCCCACGCGGCGAGAAUGCGCCCGCGGAAAUGCCCAAUCUUUCUCGCCCGAUGGCCUGCCUCUGGGGGCGUUUCUUGCCGUUCCCUUAAGAUGCAAGCCCUGGCCAAGGCCCUUGCUUGCCCUAGCCGCCUCCGCCUCCAUUGCCGAACGCGGCAGGCUGCGGGAUUUCGCCGCCACCUCUAACCUCUUCCUUGGUGGCACCCCGCCAGCAGCGCGGCCGUUGCCUGCGCCAUGAGGGCACAUCAUCCCGAGCAAGGUCAGCAUUUGGCCGACACGCAAAACCCGCGCUGCUGCGAGCUCCCUCCCAACGCAGUCUCCGAACGGGAGGUGGCAGGGGUAAGAGGCGGUGGGACCCUGCUGCCAGGUGCAGAUGUAAAUGUGUUGGGCAAGUUACACAGGGCACGAGGCGACGAGGGUCAAGGCACACCAGGGCACACUGUCACGGCAGGCGAGUGCAUGCGACACACACACACACACACAAAAAAAAUACCGUAUUGCCACGCUCAAUUGGUGAUUUUAUAAUUGGUGACAGGAAGAAAUCGCGUUGGAAUUAAACAGUCUGACACAGAUUUUGGUGAUGGGCUCUGGCAGAAGCCAGGCCGAAGUACACCCGUGUCACAGAAUUGGUGAUGGGACCCCCCAAAUCGUACCCAGCGUCUCCGGCCCCGGCAGCUGCAACACAAGCCCCGCGCUUGCAGGCGCAGUCAGGCGCUAUCCAGCCAAUGUCCCACAGCUUAAGCUGCUUAGGGCCUUUGGGGGCUACACUGAGCAUUGUGCGUACACUAUUGCUUAGUAUAGGAAUAGCGUCACUAGCCAAAGCAGCCUGUUUGCGUGUUUUCGCCCGACUUGGAUUCAGAGUGCACAGGCAUUGGUGACGGGCUCUGGCAAAUCCUAGUCGACAAUGUUCCCUGCUACCAAAUUGGUGAUUUUCACCAAAUUGGUGUCACCAAUUGAGCGUGGCAGUACGGUAGAUAAACCUUCAUCCUGGGACAGCUCCGACUAACCCCCAACUAACUCGUGUACGGCACCCCAACCCCCCUCAGCCGUACAGGAGGUAGCGUGGCAGUCGGCAGCUGCGCGAGUGUGAGCAGGUAGUUGUAUGGCGGCCGGCUCGGAAGCUACCUGUAUGUAGUGACGCACACGGGCAGUUGGCGCUAGUCGACAGGCGCGCGAGUGGGAGCUGGCAGUUGAGCGCGCACGCGUGUGGGAAGCUGCGUCUGAGCACGGCGGAGCACGGCAGAGGCUGGUGGUUGGCGCGGCGCGCGAGUGGCAGUGCAUAGUCGUGCGCCGUCUGGGAAGCUGCGUGUGUGAGCUGCGUGUAAGCUCAGAGAGACGCAUGGGGCUGCCCCUGUGCCAUAAGCUGCCUCUGGGUGCAAACGCUUUCACACGGU
RNAcentral lists this long non-coding RNA (3561 nucleotides) under Chlamydomonas reinhardtii. RNAcentral's name for it is "long non-coding RNA (CREI_LNC000161)". The record is from RNAcentral. Lineage: Eukaryota; Viridiplantae; Chlorophyta; Chlorophyceae; Chlamydomonadales; Chlamydomonadaceae.